CAGGAUGAACGCUAGCUACAGGCUAACACAUGCAAGUCGAGGGGUAGCAGGGUAGCAAUACCGCUGACGACCGGCGCACGGGUGAGUAACACGUAUCCAACUUCCCAUAACUCAGGGAUAGCCUUUCGAAAGAAAGAUUAAUACCUGAUAGUACUUUUUCAAGGCAUCUUGAGAAAGUUAAAGAUUUAUUGGUUAUGGAUGGGGAUGCGUUCCAUUAGAUAGUUGGUGAGGUAACGGCUCACCAAGUCUUCGAUGGAUAGGGGUUCUGAGAGGAAGGUCCCCCACAUUGGUACUGAGACACGGACCAAACUCCUACGGGAGGCAGCAGUGAGGAAUAUUGGUCAAUGGGCGAGAGCCUGAACCAGCCAAGUAGCGUGAAGGAUGAAGGUCCUAUGGAUUGUAAACUUCUUUUAUAGUAGAAUAAAGUGAUCCACGUGUGGAUUUUUGUAUGUAUACUAUGAAUAAGGAUCGGCUAACUCCGUGCCAGCAGCCGC
This 494-nucleotide ribosomal RNA is filed under the name uncultured bacterium. Its description in RNAcentral is "bacterial SSU rRNA". It matches the Rfam family "Bacterial small subunit ribosomal RNA", at positions 25 to 518 of the family's 1533-position model. The record is from RNAcentral.